This 497-nucleotide ribosomal RNA is filed under the name uncultured bacterium. Its description in RNAcentral is "partial 16S ribosomal RNA". It matches the Rfam family "Bacterial small subunit ribosomal RNA", at positions 28 to 507 of the family's 1533-position model. The record is from RNAcentral.
GAUGAACGCUGGCGGCGUGCCUAAUACAUGCAAGUCGAGCGAACAGAUGAGGAGCUUGCUCCUCUGACGUUAGCGGCGGACGGGUGAGUAACACGUGGAUAACCUACCUAUAAGACUGGGAUAACUUCCGGAAACCGGAGCUAAUACCGGAUAAUAUAUUGAACUGCAUGGUUCAAUAGUGAAAGACGGUUUUGCUGUCACUUAUAGAUGGAUCCGCGCCGCAUUAGCUAGUUGGUAAGGUAACGGCUUACCAAGGCAACGAUGCGUAGCCGACCUGAGAGGGUGAUCGGCCACACUGGAACUGAGACACGGUCCAGACUCCUACGGGAGGCAGCAGUAGGGAAUCUUCCGCAAUGGGCGAAAGCCUGACGGAGCAACGCCGCGUGAGUGAUGAAGGUCUUCGGAUCGUAAAACUCUGUUAUUAGGGAAGAACAAAUGUGUAAGUAACUAUGCACGUCUUGACGGUACCUAAUCAGAAAGCCACGGCUAACUACGUG